GAUUUAAAUUACUUAGUACAACACAUAUGCUUGCAACCGCCCCGCCAAAUUUAUUCUUCAAACCUUUCACUCCUUUUUCAUUUUUUGAAUAGCACAGUUGCAACGUGCACAUAUCGCUACAUGCAGAGAACCCCUAUUGCUUCCCCUCCCAAUUCCUACGAGAGUUUUUCUGGGGUGGCACUUAUCCCUCCGCCGCUGAAUGUUUUGGCCCUUUUCGUAUGGCGUGCAAUUUUUUAAAAAGCACGUGGACCAUCGACGAAACCCUUCCAUGGCCCCGGAGCUACUCAACUUCGUCGUUCGUCGAACAUCACUCAAUCAUCAUUGUUGUGACUGUCCGAGACUCCGAGUAGAUGUGUUUCGUUUCUCUGCAUAAUAGCUAGUUCUUGGGAAACUUUCAAAAUCCCGUAUUCUGAAACCAGGGUUACGCGUAGAAGGCAAAGUUUGUAGAGUUCUUCCAGACAACCAACAAAAGUAGCUCCCAUAUUUACUGAACAAGGUGGCUCAACGUACGUGGCUAAUCUACUAAAUCGCAAUUAACCUUACAAGAUGCAAACGAAAAGUCAUCUUUCUCCUUUCUGCCGUGACGCGACGUCAGUGAAAACGGUGUCGUCUCCCAACUUUCUCCAGUCAUGUUUCGAAAUGCAAUGGUAACACAUAAAUAAGCCAAAGCAAAAAAAGAUGAAGAAGUGCAUCGCGGCUUUGUUCUUUAUCGGUUGCACUGGCUCACGUGUUUUGCAGUAUUCUGUUUGCUUGUGCUGUUUGGACUCUUCUCUGCAUCCACACACUUUCACUUUUAUAGAAGAAAAACAAAACGUGCAUUCACAAAUAAAAACCAGUGCGUCGAAGAAAAGACGACAUACAGUCAAUAUCAUUAAAAGAGUGCCUCGUAAAGUUGAAGCUUAAGAAAUUAUGGAAUCUUCUUACACGUGUGGACUCUGUUGGCUACGUGUCACUUGUCGGACAGGAGAGGUAAACUUGGCUGACACAAUAAAUCAAGUGGCAAUGUACGAAACGCUAUUUUCUUUACUGGACACUGCACCAGACCAGACUGCACCUGUGCUGUUUUGGUGUUUUGGUGGACGUCAAAAUGGUGACUGUCAACUGUUUUUAGGCGCUAUCUUUUUCGUAACUGAUAGUUGAAUUGAUUUGAACAACAAAUUGUUAAGAAAAAGGUGGUUCCCUAACUCCCUAUUAUUUUCCCUAACGCACUUAGCCUUACUUGUGCAGCCUUUAUGCCGUAGAGAUUUAUACUGUUUAUUCCCAAAUGCUCACCGUAUGGCAGAUGGUCCACAAUUUAAUGUGGCA
Molecule: long non-coding RNA, 1305 nt
Organism: Daphnia magna
Lineage: Eukaryota; Metazoa; Arthropoda; Branchiopoda; Diplostraca; Daphniidae
Exons: 4
Source: RefSeq, a predicted model, not a curated record